UACGUAGGGUGCGAGCGUUAAUCGGAAUUACUGGGCGUAAAGCGUGCGCAGGCGGUUUCGUAAGACAGAUGUGAAAUCCCCGGGCUUAACCUGGGAACUGCAUUUGUGACUGCGAGACUAGAGUGUAGCAGAGGGGGGUAGAAUUCCACGUGUAGCAGUGAAAUGCGUAGAUAUGUGGAGGAAUACCGAUGGCGAAGGCAGCCCCCUGGGCUAACACUGACGCUCAUGCACGAAAGCGUGGGGAGCAAACAGG
RNAcentral lists this ribosomal RNA (253 nucleotides) under uncultured bacterium. RNAcentral's name for it is "partial 16S ribosomal RNA". It matches the Rfam family "Bacterial small subunit ribosomal RNA", at positions 524 to 776 of the family's 1533-position model. The record is from RNAcentral.